Long non-coding RNA from Thalassophryne amazonica, 1914 nucleotides. RefSeq lists it as uncharacterized. The record is from RefSeq and is a predicted model, not a curated record. NCBI's taxonomy places the organism in Eukaryota, Metazoa, Chordata, Actinopteri, Batrachoidiformes, Batrachoididae. The transcript has 3 exons.
AUGUUGAAAUACUUAUUUUCCUCACUGUAUAUAUGUUUUCGGCUGUGGGUCUUUUUUUUGGACUUGCUGAAUAUUUGGACUUUGACAGUUAUUCUUUCUAUGUGAACGUGGACUCGUAGUUCAACUAGUCUGAGGGUCAUUUCACUAAAAUCACCUGAACAGUGUCAAAAUGACAGCAUGAGUUCCGUGCAAUUAAUGACUUAAAGGAGCAUGUUUUCUGUGCCAUCUAGUGGUCAGGUUUAGAUUGCAGUCCAUCCAAUACUUAAUGUAGUACUCAAAGAAUGUGGGUCAGAUGACAGGAGAAAUGCACGUUUAUGUGGCGCUCUGAGGUUUCUGCCGCUAACUGCAUGGAUCCGUACGUUGUUUCUCCCCCUUAUUGUGUUGUUUAGACAUGAAGUUACGAUACUGUUGUCUUCUUCACAAAACAUUUUGACACCUAAUAGAUCCUUGACAUUUGAUUGGUGUGUUUGUAUGUCAUGUGAUGUUGGUUAUUCAUCCCACAGUGUGACUGGCAUCAUUUUUGUUUUUUUGUUUGUUUUUGGGGGGGGGGGCAAUUUUGUCUUAUGCAUUUUGCACCACUGCACAACUCCGAUUAGCUUUUCAUAAGAAUGCGCUCAUGACACACGGAAGCUAACUCCACUACACUAUAAGCCAAUGAGAAGCUUACGCAGUGCUUGAGGGGACAACUCUAGCAGCCAAAGAAGCACUGUCAGCGUGUGUGGGCGGAGUCAACUGCUGUGUGGCACAGAGGUGUCUCUGCCCCACUGUUUUCAGCUUCCUGUGCCAGCAAAAAGCAACUAACUUUAUGUAAAAUAUCAAAUGACAUGGAUCUAUUUAGGUGUCAUAUUAAACAAAUAAUGAAUGUUUAUGAGUGCAGUGGAAAUGAAAAUAUUCUUAUGACUGCACUCAUAAACAUUCAUUGUUUGUAUACCACAGUGUGUUGCUUUUUUAUUUAUUUUUUUAGUAGUGUGGAAUUUGGUGUGACAUACUGAAAGAUCAGGCAUUUGUUAAUAUUAUGACUCAUGGCAAUAAUAGUAAUAAUAAUAACUAUUUAUACAGGGCUUUCUCAGUAAUCAAAGUACUAAAUAAACUACAGUAAUAAAAGAAAUAAAUGGCAGUAAUAAGUACAUGACAGCAAUGCACAAAAAUCUCAAAUUACUUGUAAAGAGCUGAUGAUAUAGAAAAAGGUGUGAUUUAUGCUCCAGUGCAACUUGUAUAUGUUUUUUUUGUCUUCAAGAGGCAUUUUCUUUUCUGGUGUGGCUUAUACUCUGGAAAAUACAGCUAUAUUUUCAACUUUGCAUAUGUCACUUCGUGUAUGUGAAAGCUACACAGUGGUAGCCAAACUGGCCAGCUUUCUAACGCUGACAUUUUAUAGUCUGAAAAGGUUAGAACUUGAGUUCUCUCAUCUACAGCGUUGUGUCUCUUUGUCAUACACGGGGACCUUUGGUGAUACGGCUGAGCUUCAGUUACUGGUUUGGUUGCAUUUUGAAACCUCAACACCAGGUGGUGUUGAAAACUCCAUCAUGCUGCCUUAGGGGACCAAAAGUAAUCUAAACUACAGUUAUCUUCUGAGCUGUUCCAUAUUCCGCUGUGUGCUGUUCUCUCGCUCGUUGUUAAAUCAGCUGAUAAAAGAUCUACAGUUCAGUUAGUCAUCUGUUAAAUUAAUCAUGAAGAAAUCUAGACUAUUAAACGGCACACUCAAAAGUGAGCAUAACAUGAAGGAAACUCACUCAUGAGGAAGGCCAACCCCGUGACCACUCUAGAGGAGUUAAAACCUUCAGUGGCUGUGAUUGGAGAGACUUGUCUGCCGCUCCAGUCACAGUCACACAGGGAACUGGAAGACAGAACGGUGGGAUUCAUUAUUUUCCUUCAACUUUGUUGGAGUCCAAAUACAUUUGUUGUCUUCACGCUAAC